RNAcentral lists this ribosomal RNA (726 nucleotides) under Bacillus sp. PSu5_42. Its description in RNAcentral is "bacterial SSU rRNA". It matches the Rfam family "Bacterial small subunit ribosomal RNA", at positions 57 to 765 of the family's 1533-position model. Lineage: Bacteria; Bacillati; Bacillota; Bacilli; Caryophanales; Bacillaceae. The record is from RNAcentral.
GCAAGUCGAGCGGACCGACGGGAGCUUGCUCCCUUAGGUCAGCGGCGGACGGGUGAGUAACACGUGGGUAACCUGCCUGUAAGACUGGGAUAACUCCGGGAAACCGGGGCUAAUACCGGAUGCUUGAUUGAACCGCAUGGUUCAAUCAUGAAAGGCGGCUUCGGCUGCCGUUUACAGAUGGACCCGCGGCGCAUUAGCUAGUUGGUGAGGUAACGGCUCACCAAGGCGACGAUGCGUAGCCGACCUGAGAGGGUGAUCGGCCACACUGGGACUGAGACACGGCCCAGACUCCUACGGGAGGCAGCAGUAGGGAAUCUUCCGCAAUGGACGAAAGUCUGACGGAGCAACGCCGCGUGAGUGAUGAAGGUUUUCGGAUCGUAAAGCUCUGUUGUUAGGGAAGAACAAGUACCGUUCGAAUAGGGCGGUACCUUGACGGUACCUAACCAGAAAGCCACGGCUAACUACGUGCCAGCAGCCGCGGUAAUACGUAGGUGGCAAGCGUUGUCCGGAAUUAUUGGGCGUAAAGCGCGCGCAGGCGGUUUCUUAAGUCUGAUGUGAAAGCCCCCGGCUCAACCGGGGAGGGUCAUUGGAAACUGGGGAACUUGAGUGCAGAAGAGGAGAGUGGAAUUCCACGUGUAGCGGUGAAAUGCGUAGAGAUGUGGAGGAACACCAGUGGCGAAAGCGACUCUCUGGUCUGUAACUGACGCUGAGGCGCGAAAGCGUGGG